AACGCUGGCGGCGCGCCUAACACAUGCAAGUCGAACGAGAAAGGUCCUUCGGGACUGAGUACAGUGGCGCACGGGUGAGUAACACGUGGAUAUCUACCCUCAAGUGGGGAAUAACUUUGGGAAACCGGGGCUAAUACCGCAUAAGUCCGAGAGGAGAAAGCGUAAAGCGCUUGAGGAGGAGUCCGCGGCCGAUUAGCUAGUUGGUGGGGUAAAGGCUCACCAAGGCAAAGAUCGGUAGCCGGCCUGAGAGGGCACACGGCCACACUGGCACUGAGACACGGGCCAGACUCCUACGGGAGGCAGCAGUGGGGAAUCUUGCACAAUGGAGGAAACUCUGAUGCAGCGACGCCGCGUGAGCGAAGAAGCCUUUCGGGGUGUAAAGCUCUUACGCCAGGGACGAUAGUGACGGUACCUGGAGAAGCAGCUGCGGCUAACUACGUGCCAGCAGCCGCGGUAAUACGUAGGCAGCAAGCGUUGUUCGGAAUUACUGGGCGUAAAGGGUGCGUAGGCGGUGUACUAAGUUUGGUGUGAAAUCUCCCGGCUCAACUGGGAGGGUGCGCCAAAAACUGGGACACUUGAGUGUGGGAGAGGAAAGCGGAAUUCCUGGUGUAGCGGUGAAAUGCGUAGAGAUCAGGAGGAACACCUGCGGUGUAGACGGCUUUCUGGACCAUAACUGACGCUGAGGCACGAAAGCGUGGGUAGCAAACAGGAUUAGAUACCCCUUGGUAGUCCACGCCCUAAACGAUGCAUACUUGGUGUGGGUUUUUCACUGGAUCCGUGCCGGAGCUAACGCGUUAAGUAUGCCGCCUGGGGAGUACGGUCGCAAGGCUGAAACUCAAAGGAAUUGACGGGGGCCCGCACAAGCGGUGGAGCAUGUGGUUUAAUUCGACGCAACGCGAAGAACCUUACCUGGGCUCGAACGGUUGACGAUGCCCGCUAGAAAUAGUGGGGUUUCCUUCGGGAACGGCAAUCGAGGUGCUGCAUGGCUGUCGUCAGCUCGUGUCGUGAGAUGUUGGGUUAAGUCCCGCAACGAGCGCAACCCUUGUCCUGUGUUGCUAAUCUUCGGAUGCACUCUCAGGAGACCGCCAGCGACAAGCUGGAGGAAGGUGGGGAUGACGUCAAGUCAGCAUGGCCUUUAUGUCCAGGGCUACACACGUACUACAAUGGACAGGACAACGCGUCGCGAACCCGCGAGGGGGAGCUAAUCGUAUAAACCUGUUCUCAGUUCGGAUUGCAGGCUGCAACUCGCCUGCAUGAAGCUGGAAUCGCUAGUAAUGGCAGAUCAGCAUGCUGCCGUGAAUACGUUCCCGGGCCUUGUACACACCGCCCGUCACAUCACGAAAGUGGAUUGUACUAGAAGUUCGCAGACCAACCGCAAGGAGGUAGCGACCCAAGGUAUGAUUCAUGAUUGGGGUGAAG
RNAcentral lists this ribosomal RNA (1419 nucleotides) under uncultured bacterium. RNAcentral's name for it is "16S ribosomal RNA". It matches the Rfam family "Bacterial small subunit ribosomal RNA". The record is from RNAcentral.